This 79-nucleotide signal recognition particle RNA is filed under the name Parahaemophilus parainfluenzae. RNAcentral describes it as "Haemophilus parainfluenzae partial signal recognition particle sRNA small type". It matches the Rfam family "Bacterial small signal recognition particle RNA", at positions 20 to 97 of the family's 97-position model. From Rfam's summary of the family: The signal recognition particle (SRP) is a universally conserved ribonucleoprotein involved in the co-translational targeting of proteins to membranes. Lineage: Bacteria; Pseudomonadati; Pseudomonadota; Gammaproteobacteria; Pasteurellales; Pasteurellaceae. The record is from RNAcentral.
GUGUCCGGUUUACUCGGUCAGGUUCGGAAGAAAGCAGCCAAAGUCGGAAUUUCUGUGUGCCGAGAAUAAGCUGGGAAGA